Molecule: RNA transcript, 1010 nt
Organism: Trichechus manatus latirostris (Florida manatee)
Lineage: Eukaryota; Metazoa; Chordata; Mammalia; Sirenia; Trichechidae
Gene name: COMM domain-containing protein 7 pseudogene
Exons: 1
Source: RefSeq, a predicted model, not a curated record
AUGGACCAUCUGUACUGCACACAAGACCCUGUGCCCGAGGCUGUGGGCGGCGACAUGUAGCAGCUGAACCAGCUCAGCGCGCAGCAGUUCUCAGCCCUUACAGAAGUGAUUUUCCACUUCCUAGCUGAGCCAAAAGAGGUGGAAAGGUUUCUGGCUCAGCUCUCUGAAUUUGCCACCACUAAUCAGAUCAGUCUUGGCCCCCUCAGCAGCACCGUGAAAAGCCUCCUGCUGGUCCCAAAUGGUGCCCUGAAGAAGAGUCUCACAGCCGAGCAGGUCCGGGCUGAUUUCAUAACUCUGGGUCUUAGUGAGUACAAAGCCACUUACUUUUCUGAAAAGUGGAAACAGAAUUCCCAGACCCUUGCUCAGUGGGCCAUAGGUCAGACUCUGAUGAUUAACCAGCUUAUAGAUAUGGAGUGGAAAUUUGGAGUGACAUCUGGGAGCAGUGAGUUGGACGAAGUGGGAAGUAUUUUUUUACAAUUAAAGUUGGUGGUUAAAAAAGGAAACCAAACUGAAAAUUUGUAUAUAGAAUUAACUUUGCCUCAGUUCUACAGCUUCCUACACGAGAUGGAGCGAGUCAGAGCCAGCAUGGAGUGUUUCAGCUGAUUUCUGUCCCCCUACAUCUCUGCCUUGCCACCCUCCCCUCCCUGGGUGACUGCUCUGAGAGGUACCUCACUCACAGGCCUGUUGGGUGCUCAUUUUGCCUUGCUUGCCUCUUGGGAGACCAGGUGUAAAGGUUUCUGAAAAACUACAGGAUUAAGUACUUUAAGAGCCCUACACAAUCACCCUGUAAACUCUUUGUUAAGGAAUCACCACCCAUCUCCCAGGACACUUUUUAGAUACUCAAAACAGAUUCAGGGAAGAAAAUGAGUUGAGUCACCUCCCCAUCAAAACUCUAGAGUCUACAGAUGGUGCCAUCACUCAAGAUACACGCAGACCACCCUUCCCCCAAAAGAACAAGAACUCAUUUAUGGCUGAACAAGAAGCAGACUGUAGGAAUGACACGUGUGGAG